Long non-coding RNA from Argiope bruennichi, 515 nucleotides. RefSeq lists it as uncharacterized. The record is from RefSeq and is a predicted model, not a curated record. NCBI's taxonomy places the organism in Eukaryota, Metazoa, Arthropoda, Arachnida, Araneae, Araneidae. The transcript is spliced from 2 exons.
CCGAGAUGAGUAUCUGGGAUUAACGAUCGUGCAAAAAGGAAUCAGACCUCCCCACUGCAGUCCAAGCAACAGGUGCUGCAGCUUUCUGUGUUCUUACUUCCUUGCUCUUUUUGUGUUCCUCUUUGGAUAUUUUGGGGCCCAAAAAGAAAUCAGCAUCUCGCACAAAUGACUUGCUUACAGACGGCAGCCGGACCCUUGCCGCCCAAGACUUCUGGCAGCAUUUCCAUACAGACGGAACAGAAGCGAACCCUGCGGUACAUCUACAGGAAUCUCACCGAGAGCAGAGAUUCGUGGUUCUUUCCAGCGCUCUUUGUCGUGUGUCUCUGCUGCUUCAUGGCCAUGAUCAUCAACGGAAUACAACUCUACGUGCUCCCCCUCACGUGAAACCGUCCAGCCGUAAAGUGAGGGACUUGUAAAUAUUUUAUCAGAUUCGACGAAAGACAUCUAAUGGUUUGCACGCUAUAUUUCGAUAACUGUGUUAUCAUUUUAUUUUAAAAUAAAAUAUGUGUUAUUUA